RNAcentral lists this ribosomal RNA (433 nucleotides) under uncultured bacterium. RNAcentral's name for it is "partial 16S ribosomal RNA". It matches the Rfam family "Bacterial small subunit ribosomal RNA", at positions 29 to 507 of the family's 1533-position model. The record is from RNAcentral.
AACGAACGCUGGCGGCAGGCCUAACACAUGCAAGUCGAGCGAGGACUUCGGUCCUAGCGGCGGACGGGUGAGUAACGCGUGGGAACGUGCCCUUUGCUUCGGAAUAGCCCUGGGAAACUGGGAGUAAUACCGGAUGAGCCCUUUGGGGGAAAGAUUUAUCGGCGAAGGAUCGGCCCGCGAUGGAUUAGGUAGUUGGUGGGGUAAUGGCCUACCAAGCCGACGAUCCAUAGCUGGUUUGAGAGGAUGAUCAGCCACACUGGGACUGAGACACGGCCCAGACUCCUACGGGAGGCAGCAGUGGGGAAUCUUAGACAAUGGGGGAAACCCUGAUCUAGCCAUGCCGCGUGAGCGAUGAAGGCCUUAGGGUUGUAAAGCUCUUUCAGCUGGGAAGAUAAUGACGGUACCAGCAGAAGAAGCCCCGGCUAACUCCGUG